RNAcentral lists this ribosomal RNA (433 nucleotides) under uncultured bacterium. RNAcentral's name for it is "partial 16S ribosomal RNA". It matches the Rfam family "Bacterial small subunit ribosomal RNA", at positions 29 to 507 of the family's 1533-position model. The record is from RNAcentral.
AACGAACGCUGGCGGCAGGCUUAACACAUGCAAGUCGAGCGCAUCCUUCGGGGUGAGCGGCAGACGGGUGAGUAACGCGUGGGAAUCUACCUUUUGCUACGGAAUAGCUCCGGGAAACUGGAAUUAAUACCGUAUGUGCCCUUAGGGGGAAAGAUUUAUCGGCAAGAGAUGAGCCCGCGUUGGAUUAGCUAGUUGGUGGGGUAAAGGCCUACCAAGGCGACGAUCCAUAGCUGGUCUGAGAGGAUGAUCAGCCACAUUGGGACUGAGACACGGCCCAAACUCCUACGGGAGGCAGCAGUGGGGAAUAUUGGACAAUGGGCGCAAGCCUGAUCCCGCCAUGCCGGGUGAGUGAUGAAGGCCUUAGGGUUGUAAAGCUCUUUCACCGGAGAAGAUAAUGACGGUAUCCGGAGAAGAAGCCCCGGCUAACUUCGUG